UACAGAGACUGCAAGCGUUAUUCGGAUUCACUGGGCGUAAAGGGUGCGCAGGCGGUUGGGUGUGUCAGAUGUGAAAUCCCGAGGCUUAACCUCGGAACUGCGUCUGAAACUACUCGACUAGAGUACUGGAGAGGGAAACGGAAUUCACGGUGUAGCAGUGAAAAUGCGUAGAUAUCGUAAGGAACACCUGUGGCGAAAGCGGCUUACUGGGUCUUUUCUGACGCUGAUGCACGAAAGCCAGGGGAGCAAACGGG
This 254-nucleotide ribosomal RNA is filed under the name uncultured bacterium. RNAcentral describes it as "partial 16S ribosomal RNA". It matches the Rfam family "Bacterial small subunit ribosomal RNA", at positions 524 to 776 of the family's 1533-position model. The record is from RNAcentral.